Molecule: long non-coding RNA, 242 nt
Filed under: Carica papaya (papaya)
Lineage: Eukaryota; Viridiplantae; Streptophyta; Magnoliopsida; Brassicales; Caricaceae
Description: long non-coding RNA (CPAP_LNC002659)
Source: RNAcentral
UCGAGCCUCAGGUUCGAACGACAGGUCAGUAGCUUCGGGCGCGUGACCUGUGCGGUGACAACCCACAACAAGAGGCACGUUAGUGGCGAACACCGCACAGUGAAAACAAAAAGACUUAUUUUAGCGUGACAGGAGGUAGCACGUUGUAAAUGUCACCGAGCAGGAGAUGUUGACACGUAAGUAGUUAGGUGGGUGCCAGCUGUAUGUCCCAUGAAAAACUGUUUUCUGUUUGUCAUUUUGUA